GACAGAGGGGACAAGCGUUGCUCGGAAUCACUGGGCGUAAAGGGCGCGUAGGCGGGAUGGCAAGUCGGUCGUGAAAUCCUUCGGCUCAACCGAAGAACGUCGGCCGAUACUGCCGUUCUUGAGGGAUGCAGAGGAGAUUGGAAUUCCCGGUGUAGCGGUGAAAUGUGUAGAGAUCGGGAGGAACACCGGUGGCGAAGGCGGGUCUCUGGGCAUUUCCUGACGCUGAGGCGCGAAAGCGUGGGGAGCAAACGGG
RNAcentral lists this ribosomal RNA (253 nucleotides) under uncultured bacterium. RNAcentral describes it as "partial 16S ribosomal RNA". It matches the Rfam family "Bacterial small subunit ribosomal RNA", at positions 524 to 776 of the family's 1533-position model. The record is from RNAcentral.